This 119-nucleotide ribosomal RNA is filed under the name Pteropus alecto (black flying fox). Lineage: Eukaryota; Metazoa; Chordata; Mammalia; Chiroptera; Pteropodidae. The record is from RNAcentral.
GUCUACAGCCAUGCUACCCUGAACAAGCCCGAUCUCGUCUGAUCCCGGAAGCUAAGCAGGGUGGGUCCUGGUUAGUACUUGGAUGGGAGGCCACCUAGGAAGACCAGGUGCUGUAGGUG